CGAGAAACCACUAACAGUUUUCAAUGCAUUAAAUAAUUUAGAUCCUAUCUCAAAAGUUUAUUGCAGCUUGACAAGAACACUUCUCGAUCUUACAUUCUGUUGGUUCGAUUCUAUGAAAUGAGCAGCUGGUUGUAUCCAGACUUUUAAAGCUCCUGGUUUCAAAAUAAGAUUCUAGAGCUGCUUUAAAUUAAAGAUUUAAGAUUUGAAAAGUUACAUAUACAGUAUUAGUCAGGGUCUAUUUAAGAAAAGAGAAACCAUUCUAGAUAUUUUAAGCAGAGAGAAUGUAACACAAAGAUUGGUUCCAUGGGCGUUGGAAAGGCUGGAGGACCAAGACAAAAAAGAUUAGUGACAGAUUGGUAACUACAAGAAACUGAUUCCUCCCUGAACUAGUGUAACCGACUCAGAACCAGGAACAGAAACUCAGGGGCCGGCUCUGCUCACCACACUGCACGCAGUCACCAUCCCCACUGCCAGUGCUGUGAAUAAGGCUGCCACUACAGCCUCUGUCACACUCAAGCCACUGCCAAUACCGUUGCUGUUACUAACAGCCUCCGUCAUGCUGCUGCUGCCAUUAUUACCAUGGUCACUAUGGGUGUGGCUGCUUUCACCCCAAACUGACACCCAUAGGCAGGAAGAAAGGGAGGGAUGGAGUCACUUCUUGCCUCUUCUUGCUUUAAUCCUUUGGGGAACCAAGGAGCAAGGUGACCUGGACAAAGCAGUUCGAGAUGUAAUCACCCAAAGCAACAAAAAGAAGAAGAAAUACAAGCCCCAACUCUGACAACACUGGAGAGAAGAUAUGGGUAAUAAUAAGCCUAAGAAGGAAGAUGGAUGACACAGGAAUCAAUGACAAGAUUGCCUCCAAAGAGGCCCCACUGGGAAGCAAGUGGGGUCCUAAGGGAACAUUGAAAGUUUGAAAAAGAGGUGGGUUAUACCCUAAGUCUCCACUUCUAUUCUUCCUAUCUGUAGUAAGAGAAAACGGAACCAGGCAGGUCCUGGGCUCAGGAACUCCAAGCCCAGAGACAGCAAGUAGAAGGAAGAUGGAGGUUUGUAAAACUUUUGAUGUACAUCUGGCAUUUUUCAAAAAUUCAAAACCUAAAAAUUGGCAUAUUAAAGAUUAAUAGCCACAGUCACCCCCUACCAUCUCACCUCACCGCUAUAGAGCACAGGCAAUAACUGGUUUAAAUCACUCAGGCAAAAGAUUAAAGGAUUCUUUCCUAGGAAAACAGACUCAUCCCAGAAUAAAAACUCACAGAUCCUAACAUCUGGGGAACUCCCAUGAAGAGCUGUCUCCUGCUUACCAUGAAACCCACUGGAUAAUGAGUCAUGUCCAAGUAUGUCGUCAACCAAGAACUAUCCAGAAUUUCAGACCAACAUGAAAGAGCAGAAGGAGGAAUCCCAGCAUCCUAAAAGGAAAAGAAAAAUCCAGGAGAACUGAAAAAAAAUGUGGAAAUUUCCUAGAAAGUAGAAUAAAAGAUGGAUGAAUAGUAGAAGAAGGAAAAUAUGGGAGGCCCAACACCUGGAUAAUGGGAGUUCAAGGGAGAGAGAACCAGUGGGGUAAAUUUAUCAAAGAAACAAUACAAAGAAAAUUUCUUGAAAUACAGGAUGUGUAUGUAUGUGUAUGUGUAUGUGUAUGUAUGCCCAGCUCAGUGAAUAAAAAGUGUGUCUACCAAAAA
Molecule: long non-coding RNA, 1673 nt
Organism: Marmota monax (woodchuck)
Lineage: Eukaryota; Metazoa; Chordata; Mammalia; Rodentia; Sciuridae
Exons: 2
Source: RefSeq, a predicted model, not a curated record